AUGAGUCCACCAUACCUACCUAUAUACGGUAUCUACCUGCUGUUCCAAGUAAAUUUCUAUGUGCCAAACUCUAAACCUUCAAAUAAACAUUCUGUUUUGUAUGCUCGAAUAGCUCAUGUACCAACUAGGGAUGUUUGUAUCCUCCAUGCUAGGUGGGUUAUUCUCAAGAGGAGUGGACUCCGCUCCUCACUCACGAGAAAAUGGCUGGUCAUCGGGAUGCCCAGUCCCAUGCUUUAUGCAAAUCAAAUCAAAAUAACUGCAAACGAAACUCCCCCAGGACUCUUGUUAGUUGGAGGCACUCGUUGUUUUGAGCAAGCCAUGGAUUGA
RNAcentral lists this ribosomal RNA (327 nucleotides) under Triticum aestivum (bread wheat). RNAcentral describes it as "partial small subunit ribosomal RNA". Lineage: Eukaryota; Viridiplantae; Streptophyta; Magnoliopsida; Poales; Poaceae. The record is from RNAcentral.